This 501-nucleotide ribosomal RNA is filed under the name Lacticaseibacillus rhamnosus. RNAcentral's name for it is "bacterial SSU rRNA". It matches the Rfam family "Bacterial small subunit ribosomal RNA", at positions 942 to 1444 of the family's 1533-position model. The record is from RNAcentral. Lineage: Bacteria; Bacillati; Bacillota; Bacilli; Lactobacillales; Lactobacillaceae.
UGGUUUAAUUCGAAGCAACGCGAAGAACCUUACCAGGUCUUGACAUCUUUUGAUCACCUGAGAGAUCAGGUUUCCCCUUCGGGGGCAAAAUGACAGGUGGUGCAUGGUUGUCGUCAGCUCGUGUCGUGAGAUGUUGGGUUAAGUCCCGCAACGAGCGCAACCCUUAUGACUAGUUGCCAGCAUUUAGUUGGGCACUCUAGUAAGACUGCCGGUGACAAACCGGAGGAAGGUGGGGAUGACGUCAAAUCAUCAUGCCCCUUAUGACCUGGGCUACACACGUGCUACAAUGGAUGGUACAACGAGUUGCGAGACCGCGAGGUCAAGCUAAUCUCUUAAAGCCAUUCUCAGUUCGGACUGUAGGCUGCAACUCGCCUACACGAAGUCGGAAUCGCUAGUAAUCGCGGAUCAGCACGCCGCGGUGAAUACGUUCCCGGGCCUUGUACACACCGCCCGUCACACCAUGAGAGUUUGUAACACCCGAAGCCGGUGGCGUAACCCUUU